AUGUGUACGAGUGCGCCUGCGGGCAUCGACAGAUUCAUAGUUAGGAAUGUUUCUAGGGUUCUACCCUUUGACUUAAGAUGGAUACUAUUCUAAGAGAGAAAGACGUUGAAUUUGACCUUGAAAGUGGUGGGAACACUAGCGAAGAGGAUGCAAGCAAUGAUCUUUGCGUUAGUGAGGGAGAAUCCAAGGGUGGUUUUCAUUGGGCAUGGAAUGGGAUUCUGAAUUUUGAUGGAUCAGAUAAGGGUAAAAUUGGGAUUGAAUCAUGUAGCAAUUCAGCAAAAUCUGGUGAUGUUGUGGUUGUGGAUGAGGAUAAUUUACAAUUAUUUGUGGAAAAGGGUUUGGAACAUGGUCAACAGCAAUUGUCUUAUGUAAAUGGUAAUCAUGUAAAACAGAAGACUAAUCCCAAAAAGCCUAGAAAGCCACCCCUGCCUCCUAAAGGUCCAUCACUGGAUGCUGGUGAUCAGAGGUUUGUGAAGGAGCUUGCUGAGCUUGCUUUGAGGAAGCGUGCAAGGAUUAAGAAAAUGAAAGCAGUAAGAAAGAUGAAAGCAAGGAAGUCAUCAUCAUCAUCAUCAACAUAUACCAGUCUUUCAGCCAUGGUCAUCACUAUUUUCUUCUUCCUUGUCAUAAUACUCCACGACUUUGAUUGCAGGAAUCAGAUCAGCGAGUAGUGCUGCUGUUGGCUUAAUGGCUUCCCCUGAGGCAGCAGUUGUGGCAGAUGAAGGUUUGAUUUCAGUUCAGUAUCCCAAAAACUUCAACACAAAUGAAGGAGAUGCACCUGGCUCUCGCUAUUCAGUUCUGAAGGAAAGAUGAUGUGGUAAUUAUGAAGAUUUUUUCCCUUUCAAUGUGAGGUUAGGCCAUUCUUUUCUAGUUUGAUUAUGUUUGUGUUCUUGUACAGCCAUUAGGAACCUUAGCUAUUUCUCAAGUUUUCUUGUACAGUGACCUGAU
Molecule: RNA transcript, 945 nt
Organism: Abrus precatorius (Indian licorice)
Lineage: Eukaryota; Viridiplantae; Streptophyta; Magnoliopsida; Fabales; Fabaceae
Exons: 4
Source: RefSeq, a predicted model, not a curated record